Molecule: long non-coding RNA, 1815 nt
Organism: Anarrhichthys ocellatus (wolf-eel)
Lineage: Eukaryota; Metazoa; Chordata; Actinopteri; Perciformes; Anarhichadidae
Exons: 3
Source: RefSeq, a predicted model, not a curated record
CUUUCCACAAAGGACACGAUGUCUGUCUGUCUGUCUGUCCUCUGAGGACACCGAUGAGACAGAUGUGAGAGGCGUGGUGCUGAAUGAACUCCCCGACCAGCGCAGCAGCAGGAAGCGUCUCUUUCUUCUUGUGGCCUCUGGAGCUCCGGCUUCACUCAAAGUCAUCAACAUGAGAUUUUAGCUGAUGUGGUUUCAUUCUGUGUGUGGGUAACGAAGGGGACAGAAAUAGACGUCUCUACCAGUACACAAACGUAUGUAUAUAUGUACGGUAUGUAUAUGUGUGUACAUGUAUGUGUAAGUAGGAAGGACUUCCUGAACUGAACCUACUUUGAUUUCACAUCCAGCGUGAUGAGCUUUCUAAAGGUUGAAGUUUCUCUCAGGUCACCAAGCUUCAUGUACUUAUGUAUAAAAACUUCUUUAUUAUUUGUAUCAUCACAUGAAAGGAGACGUCAGCAUGAGGAGCAGUGAAGUGUCCCCUCGUUGUCUCACUAAAGGACACUUGGACGUGUGAGGCCGCUCUACCACUGAGGCACAUCCGUCCCUAAGCUGUCAAUCAAAGCGUGUGAGCCCGCCCCCAACCAGCUGAACCGUUACAACAUUAAUAUGAUGCUUACAUUCAAACUCUAUGAUAACAAGAAACCUUUAAGGCAGAACUCCAAAAUAAUUCAGCAGUAUGAGAAGUUUUACUUUUGAUACUUUAAGGAUGUUUUAAUACUUGUACUAAAUAUUACCAAUAAUAGUAAUAUUGUGUGUAGACAUAUUUAAUAUGAUGACAUCAUGUUUACAAGGAGAAAACAUCAGGAUCUAAACCAGCCCUCCUCCACAAGUACAAGUAUUUGUGUACAUUGUGUGUACUUCUACAGCGAGCUGAACCCACCAGGAUCCAGAACCACAGUAAACAGGUGGCUCCUCAGAUCCCUGCAGAGAGGAGACGAACACACAAACCACAGCUGACGAUGUUCAGAGAUGUUGAGCCGAGAUAUGAGUCUGAGGCGUGUGGUUAUCUGGGGGCGGGGCUUAGUUGCAUACAAAUACACACACAUACACAUAUAAAAAUACACACACACACACACACACACAUACACUACCAUCUUAUCCUAGUAGUCUGUAGGGAGACGUGUUUUCUACCAGAUUACAGUCAAAGUUACAACAGUUUGAAACACGAGGUUAACGUAAAGUUAAAGUAAACAAAACAACAAUUCUUCAAAAGUACUUAUGUUUAGAGGUAUAAGUACUUGGUUAUGUUUAGGUAUAAGUACUUGGUUGUAUUUAGAGGUAUAAGUACUUGGUUGUAUUUAGAGGUAUAAGUACUUGGUUGUGUUUAGAGGUAUAAGUACAUGUUUGUGUUUAGAGGUAUAAGUACUUGGUUGUAUUUAGAGGUAUAAGUACUUGGUUGUAUUUAGAGGUAUAAGUACUUGGUUGUGUUUAGAGGUAUAAGUACUUGGUUGUAUUUAGAGGUAUAAGUACAUGGUUGUGUUUAGAGGUAUAAGUACUUGGUUGUAUUUAGAGGUAUAAGUACUUGGUUGUGUUUAGAGGUAUAAGUACUUGGUUGUGUUUAGAGGUAUAAGUACUUGGUUGUAUUUAGAGGUAUAAGUACUUGGUUGUGUUUAGAGGUAUAAGUACAUGUUUGUGUUUAGAGGUAUAAGUACUUGGCUGUAUUUAGAGGUAUAAGUACUUGGGUGUAUUUAGAGGUAUAAGUACUUGGUUGUGUUUAGAGGUAUAAGUACUUGGCUGUAUUUAGAGGUAUAAGUACAUGUUUGUGUUUAGAGGUAUAAGUACUUGGCUGUAUUUAGAGGUAUAAGUACUUGGUUGUAU